Long non-coding RNA from Chenopodium quinoa (quinoa), 441 nucleotides. RefSeq lists it as uncharacterized. The transcript has 2 exons. NCBI's taxonomy places the organism in Eukaryota, Viridiplantae, Streptophyta, Magnoliopsida, Caryophyllales, Amaranthaceae. The record is from RefSeq and is a predicted model, not a curated record.
UUAUACCCAGACAUAUCUACCGUUCUUUUUUGCUUUCUCUCUCUUCUUCAUGCCUCUUUUUCAUGCUCUCUCUCUCUUCCUUUAAACUCUCUGAUGCAAAUUUUUUCAUUGUUCUUCGCAAAUCAAAUUCCCUUAAUUUGUUCUUGGAUCUUCGUCUUCUAUUAAAUCUGAACAAUGAUAGGCUUGCAUCUGGACAUUCAUUGACAAUUCGUGAAAUGGUGGAGGUCAAUUAUGCUGAACUCAAUGGUGCUACUGCUUUUGAAGCUUCUAGUAAUCUUUGUUUUUUGUAUUAAACGUUUGGUUAAUUUUGGAAUUCUUGGAGGAAUUUUAUUUAUUUAGGUAUUUUAUGUGAAAUGUGAUAUGUAAUUUAAGUGUUCAAUUACUAAUUUAGAACUCAAUUUUAUGAGCCCAAUUCAAUUAUGUCAUUUACUUUUAUGCUUA